This is a long non-coding RNA of Choloepus didactylus (southern two-toed sloth), 1004 nucleotides long. RefSeq lists it as uncharacterized. The record is from RefSeq and is a predicted model, not a curated record. The transcript is spliced from 3 exons. NCBI's taxonomy places the organism in Eukaryota, Metazoa, Chordata, Mammalia, Pilosa, Megalonychidae.
CGCCCCAGCCACGUCACAAACCCCUCCCGCGCCCCCGGGGCGACCCCGGCCCAGAUCCCCGCGCUCCCCUGAGAUUCGGCCUCGGGAAGGAGAGACCAGGUGUGGUCGGACCCGCGACGCCGACGGCGCUGACGGUGUUUCCCGCUCGUUGAACUCCGGGGACGCGCGGAGUCGGCGCCUCGUUCUCUCCCUGCAGCUCCUGAGCGACGGGACCGCCCCGGUGAGGGUGAUGGGCCGAGAACCGCGUAGGUUCAAACCCCGGUUCCUCCUUUCCCGCGCGGAGUGACUUCCGGCUGCACCGGGAACCCUCCUGGGCCUCUGCUCACCGUUUAUAAAAUGGGGACAUCGCAGUGCAGGCUCCUGUGAGGGCAGAAUCGGAUCACGCCUCCCCUCGGGUCGGUCCCGGCUUCCGCUUGAGUGUCUUGGUGACUGUACUCUGACUUCAGUGGAAACGGGACACUGAAACCAUAAGAGACCUGAGAAAUGAAGUCUUGCAAGACUUGAGGCCAGUCCAAGUUGAACCAGAGUGGGCAGAAGACGUCUUCAGUUGGAAGCUAGGAGCCUAAAGAGGGAGGUGUGAACAGAGAGGACUGUGAAAGCUUCCAGGAGCAGAGGAGGGACCUGGGUCCUGUGUGCUGUCAUCAUCGCUGUGGUCCUCUGUGAGGUCAGAGCAGACAGCUCUGCCAGGUGCCUCGAGCUGGUGAGUCAGGACCUCAGUCUGAGGACACCACCAUCUUGCCACCCUCAGCCAGAGUCUCCGCAGGGGUGCAGGCCGCGAUUGCCCGGUUUUCCUUUUUCUUCUCUGCAGGUGAACAGAGUUCAGGCUUUGCUUUGGCUUAUAAAUGCAGUUUUGUUUUUACUUCAUCCCAAAUAUUUUGAUUUGUGUUUGGACUUAUGUCACCUUAUGAAUGUUUAAAAUACUUAUUUAUUAACCAAGAAGAGAUUAUGAAAUGUAUAACAGCUUACUGUUUGGGAUUUUAUUUACUGACAUUUUCAGUAUUCAG